Molecule: transfer RNA, 74 nt
Filed under: Rhodospirillales bacterium
Lineage: Bacteria; Pseudomonadati; Pseudomonadota; Alphaproteobacteria; Rhodospirillales
Description: tRNA-Met
Rfam family: tRNA
About the family: Transfer RNA (tRNA) molecules are approximately 80 nucleotides in length. Their secondary structure includes four short double-helical elements and three loops (D, anti-codon, and T loops).
Source: RNAcentral
AGCGGAGUAGAGGAGCGGCACCUUGGCAGGUUCAUACCCUGCAGACGCGGGUUCGAGUCCCGCCUCCGCAACCA